AAGGUUCGGUAAGUAGGCCAAGGUCAUGAAGCUUGCACACAGCAGAUCUAGAUUUCAGCCCAUUUUCUUUGACUCCAAAGUCAAGGCUGCCCCACCUCCCACUUCCGGGGCCUCACCUGUGCCAGGCAACCUUCUGAAUGCCUUACAUGUAUAAACUUAAUCUCCACAGGACUCUGUGAACUAGAUACUACUAUUGUCAUCAGCAUCAGCAUCCCCAUUUUGCAGCCCGGGACACUGAGGCAGAGUGGUGAAAAGGCACUUGAAGAGUUACCCACAGCUGGUAAGCAGUGGAGAUGGGAUUUGAACUCAUGGAGCCUAGAUCCAGAAUGUGGCACACUCCCCCCCAACACUCUACUGCCUGUAAGAGAAGGAUGAAAAGACUCCAGACUCUGUGCGGACAGGGACUGCGCCUGCCUUGAUGAGCACUGUAUCCCUGGGCACCUGGCAUGAUGCCUGGCACAAAAGAAGCGCUCAGUCAAAGCUUGUGGUUGAAUGCACGAAACAGAGGACCCGCAGCCAAGACAACAGCUGGUGUCAAUCCAGGCCAUUUCCCCGUCCCUGGUGAGGGCCAGAGCCAUCCAGUGGGGCCCUGUCCAAACACCUGGGUGACAGGUCAAGGCUGCAGAGCUCUCCAGGCGAGGCGAGUGGGGGCCAUAAACCAACUCCCCGGAGCCAUCUCUUCUUCCUGGCGGCUGGUCUUUAUCAUUUUCCAAUCAAUGCUGGUUGGGUUCUAAUUGAUUUUCUGUGAUAUCCCUCUCCAGAAGGGAGAAAGGCUCUGUUUACUGGGGCAGCACAUAGAGGACAGCCCUUUUCUUCCUGCUGUAUUUAAUGCUGUUGCUAAUCACGGAGAUUACACUGAAACAAUUACAACAGCUAAUUAAAGAACAAUGCGGUUUUUGGCAUCUUCGAGCAGACGGCACCAUCGGGAAUUCCUAACUCGGGCAAAGGAGGGAUAAUUAAAACCCCGGCUCAACUCUCCCCACUCCAGCAGCUGGAUCACGCUGAUUAAACUGCAAAUAAAACACAUGAAACCAACACUUUGUCGUCUAUCCAAUUUCACUUAAAAGGGCUUGUAACCGAUUCAUAACAGAGAAGCCGUAAACAGCAAAUUAUUUAACUAAAGCCAGUUAUGUCGUCAUUGCUGUUUGCUUCGUUCGCAGCACUGGACUUGUGCAUGUGGCCCAGGGGACGUUAGGCUGAUGGAGUCUGAGAAACCGCUCCGAAGCUGAUGCCACUCGCUCCUGAUCACCGGCCACGGGACGUCACCACCAACCCACUGUUUUCUCUGGGCUUUUGAUUCUGCUGGAAAAAAGAUCAGGUAUCGCACAGGUCCCUGGAAAUGCCCAGUUACCCUAGCUGCUGACUCUACGCCAAGGAGAGAUGGCAGGGAUCGUGACAAUGCCAAAAUAGAGCUAACAUUAAAAAAAUAACAGGUUUAAAACAUAUCUAAGUUAUUCGGAGCUGGCCAACUUCAGAUCUAACAUGCAACCAGCAUCUAUGAGGUAAGAAAGAGCCUUCCUCUUGAGUUAGAGGAAGACAGGCCACAAUAGCUGGAUACACAAGCAUGUCUGCCUUAGACAGAGACACUGAGACCCUAGCUCAGAUCCUGUUGACACAGUUCCCAACUCACUCCAAAAAGCUUGGUUGUGUGGUUGGCUAGCUCCCUCCCUCCCUUGCUGCCAAGAGAUAAGAAGGGGGGAAAGUGAGAAAAAAGACAGGUCAAGGGAGAAAGAAAAAGAAGGCAGAAGAAGAAAAGGGAGGAAAGAGGAAAUGAGAGACACUCUCAUUGAAAGCAGCAAGAAGGGAGGGAAAAAUAAAAAUACCACGAGAGAGCAGACAGAGGAAUUUUAAAAGCCCCACACGACCCGUGUGGAUAGGAUCUGAGAGCAAGCUUCCACCCCUCCCUGUGCUGUGGCCCCAGAUGCUGGUUGGGUUCCAGAGUAAUGCUUCUCCGUCCAGCCAAGCUGAAAGGUCUUUUUCUCCCCUCUCUACCUCAGGCUGAGAGUUUUGUAAAAUAAAACAAAAGAUGAAGUAUCAAAAAAAGAGGAAAAAAGGUCGACAUGCUUGGAUACCACGCAAUGUCCAAUUACUGUAAAAGUUUCUAAAAGCUUGCCCUCAAUUUCUGAACUCGCUCGGCACAGAGAGGGGGAAGCACUCUGUGACUGGCGCUGAUCCAUGGAGCACACUUGGAGUGGCUCUUUCCUGAAACAUCCCCCACGGGCACCGGGAACGCACUUAAUCAGACUCAUAAUAUUCUAUUUAAUGUUCACCACAUGUUGUUUGGUGAC
This is a non-coding RNA of Equus caballus (horse), 2288 nucleotides long. NCBI's taxonomy places the organism in Eukaryota, Metazoa, Chordata, Mammalia, Perissodactyla, Equidae. The record is from RefSeq and is a predicted model, not a curated record.